UACGUAGGGGGCAAGCGUUGUCCGGAUUUAUUGGGCGUAAAGAGCGUGUAGGCGGCCAGAUAGGUCCGUUGUGAAAACUGGAGGCUUAACCUCCAGCGGUCGAUGGAAACCAUUUGGCUAGAGUCCGGAAGAGGAGAGUGGAAUUCCUGGUGUAGCGGUGAAAUGCGUAGAUAUCUGGAGGAACACCGGUGGCGAAGGCGGCGUCCUGGACCAACACUGACACUGAUGAGCGAAAGCCAGGGGAGCAAACGGG
Molecule: ribosomal RNA, 253 nt
Filed under: uncultured bacterium
Lineage: Bacteria
Description: partial 16S ribosomal RNA
Rfam family: Bacterial small subunit ribosomal RNA
Source: RNAcentral